GUUGAACGCUGGCGGCGUGCCUAAUACAUGCAAGUCGAGCCAACAGACGAGGAGCUUGCUCCUCUGACGUUAGCGGCGGACGGGUGAGUAACACGUGGAUAACCUACCUAUAAGACUGGGAUAACUUCGGGAAACCGGAGCUAAUACCGGAUAAUAUAUUGAACCGCAUGGUUCAAUAGUGAAAGACGGUUUUGCUGUCACUUAUAGAUGGAUCCGCGCCGCAUUAGCUAGUUGGUAAGGUAACGGCUUACCAAGGCAACGAUGCGUAGCCGACCUGAGAGGGUGAUCGGCCACACUGGAACUGAGACACGGUCCAGACUCCUACGGGAGGCAGCAGUAGGGAAUCUUCCGCAAUGGGCGAAAGCCUGACGGAGCAACGCCGCGUGAGUGAUGAAGGUCUUCGGAUCGUAAAACUCUGUUAUUAGGGAAGAACAAAUGUGUAAGUAACUAUGCACGUCUUGACGGUACCUAAUCAGAAAGCCACGGCUAACUACGUG
Molecule: ribosomal RNA, 497 nt
Filed under: uncultured bacterium
Lineage: Bacteria
Description: partial 16S ribosomal RNA
Rfam family: Bacterial small subunit ribosomal RNA
Source: RNAcentral